AACAAACGCUGGCGGCGUGCCUAAUACAUGCAAGUCGAGCGGGUAGCAAUACCAGUGGCGCACGGGUGAGGAAUACAUAGAUAAUCUGCCUUCGAGUCGGGGAUAACCAGUCGAAAGAUUGGCUAAUACCGGAUAAGACCACAAGAUCUGCGGAUCAAGGGGUUAAAGGUUUUUCGCUUGAAGGUGAGUCUAUGCGAGAUUAGCUAGUUGGUGAGGUAAUGGCUCACCAAGGCGACGAUCUCUAACUGGUCUUAGAGGAUGAUCAGUCACACUGGAACUGAGACACGGUCCAGACUCCUACGGGAGGCAGCAGUAGGGAAUAUUGCGCAAUGGGGGAAACCCUGACGCAGCGACGCCGCGUGAGUGAUGAAGGCCUUCGGGUCGUAAAGCUCUGUCGUAUGGGAAUAACACAAUGAAUGUACCAUGCAAGAAAGGAUCGGCUAACUUCGUGCCAGCCGCCGCCGUAA
RNAcentral lists this ribosomal RNA (467 nucleotides) under uncultured bacterium. RNAcentral's name for it is "partial 16S ribosomal RNA". It matches the Rfam family "Bacterial small subunit ribosomal RNA", at positions 29 to 523 of the family's 1533-position model. The record is from RNAcentral.